AGUGAACGCUGGCGGUAUGCCUAACACAUGCAAGUCGAACGGCAGCACAGGAAGAUCUUGCUCUUACGGGUGGCGAGUGGCGGACGGGUGAGGAAUACAUCGGAAUCUACUUUUUCGUGGGUGAUAACGGAGGGAAACUUACGCUAAUACCGCAUACUACCUACGGGUGAAAGCAGGAGAUCUUCGGACCUUUCGCGAUUGAAUGAGCCGAUGUCGGAUUAGCUAGUUGGCUGGGUAAAGGCCCACCAAGGCGACGAUCCGUAGCUGGUCUGAGAGGAUGAUCGGCCACACUGGAACUGAGACACGGUCCAGACUCCUACGGGAGGCAGCAGUGGGGAAUCUUGGACAAUGGGCGAAAGCCUGAUCCAGCAAUACCGCGUGAGUGAAGAAGGUCUUCGGGUUGUAAAGCCCUUUUGUUGGGAAAGAAAAGAAGCAGGUUUAUACCCCGCUGUUCUGACGGUACCCAAAGAAUAAGCCCCGGCUAACUUCGUG
Molecule: ribosomal RNA, 492 nt
Filed under: uncultured bacterium
Lineage: Bacteria
Description: partial 16S ribosomal RNA
Rfam family: Bacterial small subunit ribosomal RNA
Source: RNAcentral